RNAcentral lists this long non-coding RNA (302 nucleotides) under Daucus carota (carrot). RNAcentral describes it as "long non-coding RNA (DCAR_LNC006579)". Lineage: Eukaryota; Viridiplantae; Streptophyta; Magnoliopsida; Apiales; Apiaceae. The record is from RNAcentral.
UUAUAAAGAGGGUUUUGGACUAGAUGCAACUAGGCCGAUAGUGGGUAUAUAUAUAUGUUGAAGAUAUAUAUAUUUAAAGUAUACUUUCCGAAUGAUUUAGAAAGAUUUAAGUAUACUUGAUGUUUUACUCCAAUACUAAAGAUGAGUAUAUAGUUGGAGUAAUAAAAGUCUUAUAAGCUUUAGUCUCGCUUAAGACUUGUAUAAUACUUGUCUUUUUGACUAAGUAUAUAUUACUUCGAAUAUACGUCUAUUUUCGAAGUACGGAUUUAAGAGAGUCUUUUGAUUUAGCUCUUUGGCUAUGG